ACACACACACACAUAUGAACAUGUAAACAAUCUCCUCGUCCGACUCCUGGAGCUGAGUGCUGCCCAUCCAUUACAAGGAAAGGAUUUCGUGGAUGGCUGAGGCUGCAGUAUUUAUGAGUUCUUGCAGAGGGGCGGCAGUGCAGCUGGAGUAACGACAUUUCCAGACGGGAUCUCUGAGCUCACCACCCCCCCGAAUCAUUCCUUGC
Molecule: long non-coding RNA, 206 nt
Organism: Xiphias gladius (swordfish)
Lineage: Eukaryota; Metazoa; Chordata; Actinopteri; Istiophoriformes; Xiphiidae
Exons: 3
Source: RefSeq, a predicted model, not a curated record